Molecule: long non-coding RNA, 821 nt
Filed under: Sus scrofa (pig)
Lineage: Eukaryota; Metazoa; Chordata; Mammalia; Artiodactyla; Suidae
Description: lncRNA (ENSSSCG00060033742.1)
Source: RNAcentral
AAAGAAUAAACAUAUACAUGACUCAUAAGCUUUUAUAGAAUCCUUGUUCUCUAUUUCUGACAUAAUUUCUUGUGGUUCUUUUUCUUCCUAGGGUCAGAAUAAAAUCUUUCAAAAGAUUUCUUGGGAACUGAGAUAAGAGCAGAUUUGCGUCCCUUAUCAGUGGGUCUUUAGCUCCAUGGUGCACUCAUAUUGUAGGCUGUUCAAGCAUAGAAGGUUUCAUGCAAUGAAGAAGAUGGAUUCUUCCUGCUGGACACAAAGAAAGUUAUUUUACCUAUUGCCUAAAUUGAAAAGAGACAAAGAGUACUGCUUGAUUUCAACUUGUCAGCAAGAACUCAGGAGAAAGGAGUUUCCUAACAAGUUGAAGAGGCGUUUCAAAAACAUGUAUCAACACUAAGGUGAGACUAACAUUGGUACCAGCGUAAAACAGAGCUCAGUCUUAACUUCUAAUUUUUCCAAAAUCAGUAGGAAGGGCCAAUGAUAGCUAGGGUGAUGGCUUUUCUAGUCGAUUGGAAAAAUGCUCAGGUGAAAUGUUAAAAAGACUCUAACCAGAGUUCCUGUUGUGGCUCAGCAGAUUAAGGACCCUGUGUUGUCUCUGUGAGGAAGCAGUUUCAAUCCUUGGCCUGGCUCAGUAGGUUAAGGAUCCAGCAUUGCCUUAAGCUGUUGAUGUAGGUGGCAGAUGCAGGUUGGAUCCAGUGUUUCUGUGGUUGUGGCCUAGGCCCCAGCUGAAGCUCAGAUCUGAUCCCUGGUUUAGGAACUUUCGUUUGCUGCAGGUGUGGCUAUAAAAAGAAUAAAAAGAAGACUCUAAUCCCUGAGUACUCUCA